AGGGCUAGAACUCAACUAUAGAGCACCUCGUUUAAUGACCAGGAAUGUUUAUAGUUCGAACCCGUACAGUCCUA
Molecule: transfer RNA, 74 nt
Filed under: Pecluma dulcis
Lineage: Eukaryota; Viridiplantae; Streptophyta; Polypodiopsida; Polypodiales; Polypodiaceae
Description: tRNA-Val
Source: RNAcentral